Molecule: ribosomal RNA, 460 nt
Filed under: uncultured bacterium
Lineage: Bacteria
Description: partial 16S ribosomal RNA
Rfam family: Bacterial small subunit ribosomal RNA
Source: RNAcentral
CCUACGGGAGGCAGCAGUGAGGAAUAUUGGUCAAUGGACGAGAGUCUGAACCAGCCAAGUAGCGUGAAGGAUGACUGCCCUAUGGGUUGUAAACUUCUUUUAUAUGGGAAUAAAACGUUCCACGUGUGGGAUUUUGUAUGUACCAUAUGAAUAAGGAUCGGCUAACUCCGUGCCAGCAGCCGCGGUAAUACGGAGGAUCCGAGCGUUAUCCGGAGUUAUUGGGUUUAAAGGGAGCGUAGGUGGAUUGUUAAGUCAGUUGUGAAAGUUUGCGGCUCAACCGUAAAAUUGCAGUUGAAACUGGCAGUCUUGAGUACAGUAGAGGUGGGCGGAAUUCGUGGUGUAGCGGUGAAAUGCUUAGAUAUCACGAAGAACUCCGAUUGCGAAGGCAGUUCACUGGACUGCAACUGACACUGAGGCUAGAAAGUGUGGGUAUCAAACAGGAUUAGAUACCCUGGUAGUC